RNAcentral lists this ribosomal RNA (363 nucleotides) under uncultured bacterium. RNAcentral's name for it is "bacterial SSU rRNA". It matches the Rfam family "Bacterial small subunit ribosomal RNA", at positions 438 to 793 of the family's 1533-position model. The record is from RNAcentral.
AGCAGUGAGGAAGGUGGGUAUGUUAAUAGCAUAUUCAUUUUGACGUUAGCUGCAGAAGAAGCACCGGCUAACUCCGUGCCAGCAGCCGCGGUAAUACGGAGGGUGCGAGCGUUAAUCGGAAUUACUGGGCGUAAAGCGCAUGCAGGUGGUUUGUUAAGUCAGAUGUGAAAGCCCGGGGCUCAACCUCGGAAUUGCAUUUGAAACUGGCAAACUAGAGUACUGUAGAGGGGGUAGAAUUUCAGGUGUAGCGGUGAAAUGCGUAGAGAUCUGAAGGAAUACCGGUGGCGAAGGCGGCCCCCUGGACAGAUACUGACACUCAGAUGCGAAAGCGUGGGGAGCAAACAGGAUUAGAUACCCUGGUAG